This 706-nucleotide long non-coding RNA is filed under the name Vulpes vulpes (red fox). Its description in RNAcentral is "lncRNA (ENSVVUG00000015559.1)". The record is from RNAcentral. Lineage: Eukaryota; Metazoa; Chordata; Mammalia; Carnivora; Canidae.
GGGAGGCGAGGUGGCACGCCGCGAGGAGCAGCACGGCCACCAGCGCCAGCACCUUGGCGCUCCUCACGCUGAAGUAGUGGUUGAUCUCCCGCUUGCCCAGGAGGUAAUAGAGAUAAAGAGGACGGGAAAAGGAGACACAAUGGAGCAGCCAUAAUAGUAGGAGGAGCAGUUUUGAGAAGCCCUAAUAUUGGAAGGAUUGGAGAGGAGUACUGAAGGAAGAUGCUGGGAAGAAAAAUCCUGAGAAGGACAAUGAGACUGAGGCAUCCUGAAAAUGCAUUCCCAGGACAUUGUCCCAGGCUGCAGAGGAAUUUGGUUCCUGAGUCUCCUCACACAUUCAGAAAAUAUUGCAUAUUCUAUGUUAUAGAAACAAUAAGUGCAAAAAUAUAUUUAAAAAGAGCUCAUACAAGAGGUUACUCGUUUUCUUUUUUAAAUCACAACAACUGAAGGGCAACAACAGCUGCUGGAGUUAUGUUUGUCAGACAUUUUAGGUUAGUUUUCCCCUUUGCGUGAAUGGGUUCCAUUGAUAACACCAAACCGGGUAUAUGUUGAGAUUGCCACCCACUGGUGAAAUAGAGAAUUUUCAUUUGCACCAGUUAAGAAAACACUUGUUCUCUGUUUCAGAGUAUGAACUCAUACAUGUAGGUUCUUUAAAAAUAUAUAUUUCAAACUCCAUUAGAAGAAUAAAGAAUUUCAUUAUUAUGAAACA